UACGGAGGGUGCGAGCGUUAAUCGGAAUUACUGGGCGUAAAGGGUGCGUAGGUGGUUUGAUAAGUUAUCUGUGAAAGCCCUGGGCUCAACCUGGGAAGGCCAGAUAAGACUGUUAGACUUGAGUAUGGGAGAGGGUAGUGGAAUUUCCGGUGUAGCGGUGAAAUGCGUAGAGAUCGGAAGGAACACCAGUGGCGAAGGCG
RNAcentral lists this ribosomal RNA (200 nucleotides) under uncultured bacterium. RNAcentral describes it as "partial 16S ribosomal RNA". It matches the Rfam family "Bacterial small subunit ribosomal RNA", at positions 524 to 723 of the family's 1533-position model. The record is from RNAcentral.